GUAGGUGAACCUGCGGAAGGAUCAUUACAGUGCCGCCGGGACGUGCCCCCUAAAAAGGGUGCGCCCCGCAAUCUGGCCACACUUGUCUACCGAACCUCGUUGCUUAGGCGGGCCCGUCGGCCCCGAGCGCUCUCCCUCGGGGGGGCUGCAAGGGGACGACCGCCUGUGGGUGGCCGUGACUCACGGUCAUCCCUCGCCAGUGCCCGCCAAAAGACCCUUGGAACCCUUUGCUGAUCAGUGACUGUCUGAGUAAAUAUUUAAUUAAUUAAAACUUUCAACAACGGAUCUCUUGGUUCCAGCAUCGAUGAAGAACGCAGCGAAAUGCGAUAAGUAAUGUGAAUUGCAGAAUUCCGUGAAUCAUCGAAUCUUUGAACGCACAUUGCGCCCUCUGGUAUUCCGGGGGGCAUGCCUGUCCGAGCGUCAUUUCAACCCUCAAGCCCGGCUUGUGUGAUGGGCGCCCGUCCCGAUUGGGGGACGAGCCCGAAAGGCAGUGGCGGCGUCGCGGUUAUCCGAUUUGCCUGAGCGUAUGGGGCUUCUGUCACACGCAACUGGCUAGGACCGGCGCCUGCCGAAAACACCAUUUUUUCUAGGUUGACCUCGGAUCAGGUAGGGAUACCCGCUGAACUUAA
RNAcentral lists this ribosomal RNA (629 nucleotides) under Gymnoascoideus sp. 14PA14. RNAcentral's name for it is "eukaryotic LSU rRNA". The stretch from base 270 to 423 matches the Rfam family "5.8S ribosomal RNA". The record is from RNAcentral. Lineage: Eukaryota; Fungi; Ascomycota; Eurotiomycetes; Onygenales; Gymnoascaceae.